This 988-nucleotide ribosomal RNA is filed under the name uncultured bacterium. Its description in RNAcentral is "bacterial SSU rRNA". It matches the Rfam family "Bacterial small subunit ribosomal RNA", at positions 40 to 1029 of the family's 1533-position model. The record is from RNAcentral.
UCGGGAGUUACACAUGCAAGUCGAGGGGUAAGGUCCGCUUCGGCGGAUACACGACCGGCGCACGGGUGAGUAACGCGUAUGUAACCUACCCAUCAGCGGGGGAUAGCCCAGAGAAAUCUGGAUUAACCCCUCAUGAUAUCAUUUUGUGGCAUCACGUAAUGAUCAAAACUCUGGUGCUGAUGGAUGGGCAUGCGUGUCAUUAGCUAGUUGGUGAGGUAAGAGCUCACCAAGGUAACGAUGGCUAGGGGGUCUGAGAGGAUGGUCCCCCACACUGGUACUGAGACACGGACCAGACUCCUACGGGAGGCAGCAGUGAGGAAUAUUGCGCAAUGGGCGAAAGCCUGACGCAGCCAUCCCGCGUGCAGGAUUGACGGCCCUAAGGGUUGUAAACUGCUUUUCUGCAAGAAGAAGGAUAGCUACUUGUAGUUAUUUGCCGGUAUUGCAGGAAAAAGCAUCGGCUAACUCCGUGCCAGCAGCCGCGGUAAUACGGAGGAUGCGAGCGUUAUCCGGAAUCACUGGGUUUAAAGGGUGCGCAGGCGGAAUAAUAAGUCAGGGGUGAAAAUUCUCAGCUUAACUGAGGACUUGCCUUUGAUACUGUUAUUCUUGAGUGCAGUUGAAGUGGGCGGAAUAUAGCAUGUGGCGGUGAAAUGCAUAGAUAUGCUAUAGAACACCAAUUGCGAAGGCAGCUCACUAAACUGUAACUGACGCUGAGGCACGAAAGCUUGGAUAGCAAACAGGAUUAGAUACCCUGGUAGUCCAGGCUGUAAACGAUGAACACUCGCUGUUGGCGAUACAGAGUCAGUGGCAGAGCGAAAGUGUUAAGUGUUCCACCUGGGAAGUACGAUCGCAAGGUUGAAACUCAAAGGAAUUGACGGGGGGCCCGCACAAGCGGAGGAGCAUGUGGUUUAAUUCGAUGAUACGCGAGGAACCUUACCUGGGGCUUAAAUGCAAAACGCUUUAUGGUGAAAGCCAUAUUUCUUCCGGACGU